RNAcentral lists this ribosomal RNA (586 nucleotides) under uncultured bacterium. Its description in RNAcentral is "partial 16S ribosomal RNA". It matches the Rfam family "Bacterial small subunit ribosomal RNA", at positions 354 to 1375 of the family's 1533-position model. The record is from RNAcentral.
UGGGGGAAUUUUGGACAAUGGGCGAAAGCCUGAUCCAGCAAUGCCGCGUGUGUGAAGAAGGCCUUCGGGUUGUAAAGCACUUUUGUCCGGAAAGAAAUCCUUGGCUCUAAUACAGUCGGGGGAUGACGGUACCGGAAGAAUAAGCACCGGCUAACUACGUGCCAGCAGCCGCGGUAAUACGUAGGGUGCAAGCGUUAAUCGGAAUUACUGGGCGUAAAGCGUGCGCAGGCGGUUUGCUAAGACCGAUGUGAAAUCCCCGGGCUCAACCUGGGAACUGCAUUGGUGACUGGCAGGCUAGAGUAUGGCAGAGGGGGGUAGAAUUCCACGUGUAGCAGUGAAAUGCGUAGAGAUGUGGAGGAAUACCGAUGGCGAAGGCAGCCCCCUGGGCCAAUACUGACGCUCAUGCACGAAAGCGUGGGGAGCAAACAGGAUUAGAUACCCUGGUAGUCCACGCCCUAAACGAUGUCAACUAGUUGUUGGGGAUUCAUUUCCUUAGUAACGUAGCUAACGCGUGAAGUUGACCGCCUGGGGAGUACGGUCGCAAGAUUAAAACUUAAAGGAAUUGACGGGGUCAUAGCUGUUUCCU